GGGGACUUAGCUCAGUGGUAGAGUGCUUGCCUAACAAGUGCAAGGCCCUGGGUUCAGUCCCCA
This 63-nucleotide transfer RNA is filed under the name Rattus norvegicus (Norway rat). It matches the Rfam family "tRNA". From Rfam's summary of the family: Transfer RNA (tRNA) molecules are approximately 80 nucleotides in length. Their secondary structure includes four short double-helical elements and three loops (D, anti-codon, and T loops). Further hydrogen bonds mediate the characteristic L-shaped molecular structure. tRNAs have two regions of fundamental functional importance: the anti-codon, which is responsible for specific mRNA codon recognition, and the 3' end, to which the tRNAs corresponding amino acid is attached (by aminoacyl-tRNA synthetases). tRNAs cope with the degeneracy of the genetic code in two manners: having more than one tRNA (with a specific anti-codon) for a particular amino acid; and 'wobble' base-pairing, i.e. permitting non-standard base-pairing at the 3rd anti-codon position. Lineage: Eukaryota; Metazoa; Chordata; Mammalia; Rodentia; Muridae. The record is from Rfam by way of RNAcentral.